RNAcentral lists this ribosomal RNA (497 nucleotides) under uncultured bacterium. RNAcentral's name for it is "partial 16S ribosomal RNA". It matches the Rfam family "Bacterial small subunit ribosomal RNA", at positions 28 to 507 of the family's 1533-position model. The record is from RNAcentral.
GAUGAACGCUGGCGGCGUGCCUAAUACAUGCAAGUCGAGCGAACAGACGAGGAGCUUGCUCCUCUGACGUUAGCGGCGGACGGGUGAGUAACACGUGUAUAACCUACCUAUAAGACUGGGAUAACUUCGGGAAACCGGAGCUAAUACCGGAGAAUAUAUUGAACCGCAUGGUGCAAUGGUGAAAGACGGUUUUGCUGUAACUUAUAGAUGGAUCCGCGCCGCAUUGGCUGGUUGGUAAGGUAACGGCUUUCCAAGGCAACGAGGCGUAUCCGACCUGUUUGGGGGGUAGGCCACAUUGGAACGGGGACAGGCACCUUGCUCCUACGGGAGGCAGCAGUCUCGAAUCUGCCGCAGUGGGCGAAAACCUGACGGAGCAACGCCGCGUGAGUGAUGAAGGUGUUCGGAUCGUAAAACUCUGUUAUUAGGGAAGAACAAAUGUGUAAGUAACUAUGCACGUCUUGACGGUACCUAAUCAGAAAGCCACGGCUAACUACGUG